Long non-coding RNA from Bos taurus (domestic cattle), 713 nucleotides. NCBI's taxonomy places the organism in Eukaryota, Metazoa, Chordata, Mammalia, Artiodactyla, Bovidae. The record is from Ensembl.
UUCAGAUGUCAGCGUCCAUAAAUAAAAUUUUGUUGGAACAUGGCCUGCAGUUUAGGUAUUGUCUCUGGCUGAUUGCAGACAGCAUCAGCUGAAUUGAGAGGCUGCACAACCGGGUCUGUGUGAUUCACAGAGUCUGAGGUGUUAACCAUCUGGCCCUUUGCAGGAAGCGUUUGCCAGUUCCUGCUCUAGGCUGGGACCCAGCAGACAGUUUUGAGGGGGGCUGAGGCUCAGAACCCAGGCAUUUCCAGAGAGGAGCUGUGGGUUUAGAGAGCUGGGGUGCCAGGUGCUGCUCUGGGUCCAGGCAAGGACCACUUGCCCCAGACAGAGCACAGGAUCUCGUGCUGUGGAUUUGUGCGUGUGGUUUGCAGACCAGCUGCAGAAGCGAGAGACGUCUCAGAACUGCAGCUACCAGCCUGGCCCUCUCUGGUGACUGGGAAGCUUACUCAGACUCCAGCUGUGUGGAAAUCACCAGGUGGGAAGGAAGCGCUGGGAUGCCUUACGAGGUCUGUGUUCCGAUGUUGGAAACUCGGCUUCCCGGAGCUGCCCUGGGAAUCUCCUUUCCGUAUGAGUACCUGUCCUCUCCUUGGCAGGGCAAGAGGCAUGUGCCCGGCUGGUGAUGUUUGUCUUGGGGGCUGAAAUGGUCCUGGCAUGCACGCUCUGUUUACCGCCGUGGUGUCUGGACACUGGAGGGCUUUACAUGUGCCCCUCGGCAC